ACGACCAUAGGGUGUGGAGAACAGGGCUUCCCGUCCGCUCAGCCGUACUUAAGCCACACGCCGGUGAGUUAGUAGUUGGGUGGGUGACCACCAGCGAAUCCUCACUGUUGUAUGUU
Molecule: ribosomal RNA, 116 nt
Filed under: Penicillium chrysogenum
Lineage: Eukaryota; Fungi; Ascomycota; Eurotiomycetes; Eurotiales; Aspergillaceae
Source: RNAcentral